RNAcentral lists this transfer RNA (74 nucleotides) under Paracoccus aminovorans. It matches the Rfam family "tRNA". Rfam says of the family: Transfer RNA (tRNA) molecules are approximately 80 nucleotides in length. Their secondary structure includes four short double-helical elements and three loops (D, anti-codon, and T loops). The record is from Rfam by way of RNAcentral. Lineage: Bacteria; Pseudomonadati; Pseudomonadota; Alphaproteobacteria; Rhodobacterales; Paracoccaceae.
CGCGGGGUAGAGCAGCCCGGUAGCUCGUCAGGCUCAUAACCUGAAGGUCGUAGGUUCAAAUCCUACUCCCGCAA